GACUCGGUGGCGGACGGUCCGCGUCUGCGUAAACUUUGCAUAUCGCUUCCAGGAGCUGCAGAUGGCGCCUGUUCGAAUCGGGCCCGAGUCA
This is a non-coding RNA of Mycena vulgaris, 91 nucleotides long. The record is from the annotation of a GenBank genome assembly. NCBI's taxonomy places the organism in Eukaryota, Fungi, Basidiomycota, Agaricomycetes, Agaricales, Mycenaceae.